RNAcentral lists this ribosomal RNA (497 nucleotides) under uncultured bacterium. RNAcentral's name for it is "partial 16S ribosomal RNA". It matches the Rfam family "Bacterial small subunit ribosomal RNA", at positions 28 to 507 of the family's 1533-position model. The record is from RNAcentral.
GAUGAACGCUGGCGGCGUGCCUAAUACAUGCAAGUCGAGCGAACAGACGAGGAGCUUGCUCCUCUGACGUUAGCGGCGGACGGGUGAGUAACACGUGGAUAACCUACCUAUAAUACUGGGAUAACUUCGGGAAACCGGAGCUAAUACCGGAUAAUAUAUUGAACCGCAUGGUUCAAUAGUGAAAGACGGUUUUGCUGUCUCUUAUAGAUGGAUCCGCGCCGCAUUAGCUAGUUGGUAAGGUAACGGCUUACCAAGGCAACGAUGCGUGGCCGACCUGAGAGGGUGAUCGGCCACACUGGGACUGAGACACGGUCCAGACUCCUACGGGAGGCAGCAGUAGGGAAUCUUCCGCAAUGGGCGAGAGCCUGACGGAGCAACGCCGCGUGAGUGAUGAAGGUCUUCGGGUCGUAAAACUCUGUUAUGAGGGAAGAACAAAUGUGUAAGUAACUAUGCACGUCUUGACGGUACAUAAUCAGAAAGCCACGGCUAACUACGUG